RNAcentral lists this ribosomal RNA (418 nucleotides) under uncultured microorganism. RNAcentral's name for it is "bacterial SSU rRNA". It matches the Rfam family "Archaeal small subunit ribosomal RNA", at positions 330 to 745 of the family's 1478-position model. The record is from RNAcentral.
GCGCAGCAGUCGCGAAACUUCACACUGUGCGAAAGCACGAUGAGGGAAUCCCAAGUGCUUGCACGUAAGUGUAAGCUGUUUCUCUGUUUAAAACGCAGAGAGAGUAAGGGCUGGGUAAGACGGGUGCCAGCCGCCGCCGGUAAUACCUGCAGCUCAAGUGGUGACCGUUAUUAUUGGGCCUAAAACGUCCGUAGCCGGUUUAAUAAAUGCCUGGGUAAAUCGUGUAGCUUAACUAUACGAAUUCCGGGUAGACUGUUAAACUCGAGACCGGGAGAAGUUAGAGGUACUCCUGGGGUAGAGGUGAAAUUCUGUAAUCCUAGGGGGACCGACCAGUGGCGAAGGCGUCUAACUAGAACGGGUCUGACGGUGAGGGACGAAGCCCCUGGGGCGCAAACGGGGAUUAGGAUACCCGUGUAGU